This 141-nucleotide ribosomal RNA is filed under the name uncultured bacterium. RNAcentral's name for it is "partial 16S ribosomal RNA". It matches the Rfam family "Bacterial small subunit ribosomal RNA", at positions 355 to 509 of the family's 1533-position model. The record is from RNAcentral.
UGGGGAAUAUUGCACAAUGGGGGGAAAACCCGUGAUGCAGCGACGCCGCGUGAGCGAGGAAGUAUUUCGGUAUGUAAAGCUCUGUCAGCAGGGAAGAAGAAUGACGGUACCUGAAGAAGAAGCACCGGCUAAAUACGUGCC